RNAcentral lists this transfer RNA (72 nucleotides) under Pyrinomonadaceae bacterium. RNAcentral's name for it is "tRNA-Val". It matches the Rfam family "tRNA". From Rfam's summary of the family: Transfer RNA (tRNA) molecules are approximately 80 nucleotides in length. Lineage: Bacteria; Pseudomonadati; Acidobacteriota; Blastocatellia; Blastocatellales; Pyrinomonadaceae. The record is from RNAcentral.
CGGGACGUAGCUCAACGGCGGAGCGGCUGCUCGACAUGCAGAAGGCCGGAGGUUCGAUUCCUCUCGUCCCGA